AGCAAGCACCGGCUAACUCCGUGCCAGCAGCCGCGGUAAUACGGAGGGUGCAAGCGUUACUCGGAAUCACUGGGCGUAAAGCGCGCGCAGGCGGCUAUUUAAGUUGGAUGUGAAAGCCUACGGCUCAACCGUAGAACUGCAUCCAAAACUAUUUAGCUAGCGUGUGGGAGAGGAAGAUGGAAUUAGUUGUGUAGGGGUAAAAUCCGUAGAGAUAACUAGGAAUACCAAAAGCGAAGGCAAUCUUCUGGAACACUACUGACGCUGAGGCGCGAAGGCGUGGGGAGCAAACAGGAUUAGAUACCCUGGUAGUCCACGCAGUAAACGAUGAAUGUUAGUCGUCGGGUAGCUAGUCUAUUCGGUGAUGCAGCUAACGCAUUAAACAUUCCGCCUGGGGAGUACGGUCGCAAGAUUAAAACUCAAAGGAAUAGACGGGGACCCGCACAAGUGGUGGAGCAUGUGGUUUAAUUCGAAGAUACGCGAAGAACCUUACCUAGCCUUGACAUAUAUUAGAACUCCGCAGAGAUGCAGAGGUGCCUUCGGGAGCUUUUAUACAGGUGCUGCACGGCUGCCGUCAGCUCGUGUCGUGAGAUGUUGGGUUAAGUCCCGCAACGAGCGCAACCCUCGUCACUAGUUACUAACGGUUCGGCCGAGGACUCUAGUGAGACUGCCUUCGUAAGGAGGAGGAAGGUGAGGACGACGUCAAGUCAUCAUGGCCCUUACGGCUAGGGCAACACACGUGCUACAAUGGCCAGGACAAUGAGACGCAAUACCGCGAGGUGGAGCAAAUCUAUAAACCUGGUCUCAGUUCGGAUUGUAGUCUGCAACUCGACUACAUGAAGCUGGAAUCACUAGUAAUCGUAGAUCAGCUAUGCUACGGUGAAUACGUUCCCGGGUCUUG
This 898-nucleotide ribosomal RNA is filed under the name uncultured bacterium. RNAcentral's name for it is "bacterial SSU rRNA". It matches the Rfam family "Bacterial small subunit ribosomal RNA", at positions 485 to 1383 of the family's 1533-position model. The record is from RNAcentral.